This 73-nucleotide transfer RNA is filed under the name Callosciurus finlaysonii (Finlayson's squirrel). Its description in RNAcentral is "tRNA-Asn". RNAcentral also lists the same sequence under 1 other name. The record is from RNAcentral. Lineage: Eukaryota; Metazoa; Chordata; Mammalia; Rodentia; Sciuridae.
UGGAUUGAAGCCAGUUGUAUUAGGUGUUUAGCUGUUAACUAAAUUUUUGCAGGUUGAAGUCCUGUCGGUCCAG